RNAcentral lists this ribosomal RNA (539 nucleotides) under uncultured bacterium. RNAcentral describes it as "bacterial SSU rRNA". It matches the Rfam family "Bacterial small subunit ribosomal RNA", at positions 356 to 896 of the family's 1533-position model. The record is from RNAcentral.
GAGGAAUAUUGGUCAAUGGACGGAAGUCUGAACCAGCCAAGUAGCGUGCAGGAUGACGGCCCUAUGGGUUGUAAACUGCUUUUGUAUGGGGAUAAAGUUAGGGACGUGUCCCUAUUUGCAGAUACCAUACGAAUAAGGACCGGCUAAUUCCGUGCCAGCAGCCGCGGUAAUACGGAAGGUCCAGGCGUUAUCCGGAUUUAUUGGGUUUAAAGGGAGCGUAGGCUGGAGAUUAAGUGUGUUGUGAAAUGUAGACGCUCAACGUCUGAAUUGCAGCGCAUACUGGUUUCCUUGAGUACGCACAACGUUGGCGGAAUUCGUCGUGUAGCGGUGAAAUGCUUAGAUAUGACGAAGAACUCCGAUUGCGAAGGCAGCUGACGGGAGCGCAACUGACGCUUAAGCUCGAAGGUGCGGGUAUCAAACAGGAUUAGAUACCCUGGUAGUCCGCACAGUAAACGAUGGAUGCCCGCUGUUGGUACCUGGUAUCAGCGGCUAAGCGAAAGCAUUAAGCAUCCCACCUGGGGAGUACGCCGGCAACGGUG